AAACCAACAGGGAUUGCCUCAGUAACUGCGAGUGAAGCGGCAAGAGCUCAAAUUUGAAAUCUGGCACUUUCAGUGUCCGAGUUGUAAUUUGUAGAAGCAUCUUUUGAAUUGGUCCUUGCAUAUGUUCCUUGGAACAGGACAUCAUAGAGGGUGAGAAUCCCGUUCAUGGUGGGGAAUCCAAUUCUUUGUAAAGUGCUUUCGAAGAGUCGAGUUGUUUGGGAUUGCAGCUCUAAGUGGGUGGUAAAUUCCAUCUAAAGCUAAAUAUUGGCGAGAGACCGAUAGCGAACAAGUACAGUGAUGGAAAGAUGAAAAGUACUCCGAAAGGAGAGUGAAAAAGGACGUGAAAUUGUUGAAAGGGAAGUGCUUGAGAUCAGUCUUAGGGUUUAGUGAUCAGUCUUCCUUUUGGUUGGUGCACUCACUAUUUCUUAGGCCAACAUCAGUUUUCGCGGUAGGAUAAUGACAUUGGAAUGUGGCUCUUUCGGGAGUGUUAUAGACUUUGUUGAUACUACUUGCUUAGACUGAGGUCUGCGCUUUUUGCUAGGAUGUUGGCAUAAUGAUCUUAAGCAGC
Molecule: ribosomal RNA, 568 nt
Filed under: Lipomyces arxii
Lineage: Eukaryota; Fungi; Ascomycota; Lipomycetes; Lipomycetales; Lipomycetaceae
Description: eukaryotic LSU rRNA
Rfam family: Eukaryotic large subunit ribosomal RNA
Source: RNAcentral